AAUCCAUAGGUUAAUGAGGCGAACCGGGGGAACUGAAACAUCUAAGUACCCCGAGGAAAAGAAAUCAACCGAGAUUCCCCCAGUAGCGGCGAGCGAACGGGGAGGAGCCCAGAGCCUGAAUCAGCAUGUGUGUUAGUGGAAGCGUCUGGAAAGGCGCGCGAUACAGGGUGACAGCCCCGUACACAAAAGCGCAUGUGCUGUGAGCUCGAUGAGUAGGGCGGGACACGUGGUAUCCUGUCU
This 240-nucleotide ribosomal RNA is filed under the name Salmonella enterica subsp. enterica serovar Agona. RNAcentral describes it as "partial 23S ribosomal RNA". It matches the Rfam family "Bacterial large subunit ribosomal RNA", at positions 161 to 439 of the family's 2925-position model. Lineage: Bacteria; Pseudomonadati; Pseudomonadota; Gammaproteobacteria; Enterobacterales; Enterobacteriaceae. The record is from RNAcentral.